GACGUAGGGGGCCAGCGUUGUUCGGAAUUACUGGGUGUAAAGGGUUCGUAGGCGGUGCGGCAAGUUGGGAGUGAAAUCUCUGGGCUUAACCCAGAGGCUGCUUCCAAAACUGCUGUGCUUGAGUGUGGGAGAGGCGCGUGGAAUUGCAGGUGUAGCGGUGAAAUGCGCAGAUAUCAGGAGGAACACCCGUAGCGAAGGCGGCACUCUGGGCCGGAACUGACGCUGAGGAGCGAAAGCGUGGGGAGCGAACAGG
This 253-nucleotide ribosomal RNA is filed under the name uncultured bacterium. Its description in RNAcentral is "partial 16S ribosomal RNA". It matches the Rfam family "Bacterial small subunit ribosomal RNA", at positions 524 to 776 of the family's 1533-position model. The record is from RNAcentral.